CUUUGGGAUAACCCUCGGAAACGGGGGCUAAUACCGGAUAUCCACUUUCUGUCGCAUGGUGGUUGGUGGAAAGUUUUUCGGCUGGGGAUGGGCUCGCGGCCUAUCAGCUUGUUGGUGGGGUGAUGGCCUACCAAGGCGACGACGGGUAGCCGGCCUGAGAGGGCGACCGGCCACACUGGGACUGAGACACGGCCCAGACUCCUACGGGAGGCAGCAGUGGGGAAUAUUGCACAAUGGGCGAAAGCCUGAUGCAGCGACGCCGCGUGAGGGAAGACGGCCUUCGGGUUGUAAACCUCUUUCAGCAGGGACGAAGCGUAAGUGACGGUACCUGCAGAAGAAGCGCCGGCCAACUACGUGCCAGCAGCCGCGGUAAGACGUAGGGCGCGAGCGUUGUCCGGAUUUAUUGGGCGUAAAGAGCUCGUAUGCGGCUUGUCGCGUCGACUGUGAAAACCUGCGGCUCAACCGUGUGGUCUGCAGUCGAUACGGGCAGGCUAGAGUUCGGUAGGGGAGACUGGAAUUCCUGGUGUAGCGGUGAAAUGCGCAGAUAUCAGGAGGAACACCGGUGGCGAAGGCGGGUCUCUGGGCCGAUACUGACGCUGAGGAGCGAAAGCGUGGGGAGCGAACAGGAUUAGAUACCCUGGUAGUCCACGCUGUAAACGUUGGGCGC
Molecule: ribosomal RNA, 667 nt
Filed under: uncultured Micromonosporaceae bacterium
Lineage: Bacteria; Bacillati; Actinomycetota; Actinomycetes; Micromonosporales; Micromonosporaceae
Description: bacterial SSU rRNA
Rfam family: Bacterial small subunit ribosomal RNA
Source: RNAcentral